GGAGAGGUGGCAGAGUGGUCGAUUGCGGCGGUCUUGAAAACCGUUGUACUGUGAGGUACCCGGGGUUCGAAUCCCUGUCUCUCCGCAA
RNAcentral lists this transfer RNA (88 nucleotides) under Phocaeicola vulgatus. RNAcentral's name for it is "Bacteroides vulgatus tRNA-Ser". It matches the Rfam family "tRNA". Rfam says of the family: Transfer RNA (tRNA) molecules are approximately 80 nucleotides in length. Their secondary structure includes four short double-helical elements and three loops (D, anti-codon, and T loops). Further hydrogen bonds mediate the characteristic L-shaped molecular structure. tRNAs have two regions of fundamental functional importance: the anti-codon, which is responsible for specific mRNA codon recognition, and the 3' end, to which the tRNAs corresponding amino acid is attached (by aminoacyl-tRNA synthetases). tRNAs cope with the degeneracy of the genetic code in two manners: having more than one tRNA (with a specific anti-codon) for a particular amino acid; and 'wobble' base-pairing, i.e. permitting non-standard base-pairing at the 3rd anti-codon position. The record is from RNAcentral. Lineage: Bacteria; Pseudomonadati; Bacteroidota; Bacteroidia; Bacteroidales; Bacteroidaceae.